GCCUUGAAUCCCAGGAGUUAACGGUAGCAUGUGUCCAUUUGGAAGGAGUAACACCGAAGUUGAGGAAGGAAGAAAGAAAGCCUCAUGAGAAAAGACUUCAGGAAGACAGCCUGAGAUCACAACUGGAUGCCACAUCAUGUUGCAGAGCACAGCUGCCAUUGCACUGCUGCUUUGCGUGCAGUCUCUGCAUGGCUCCGCUCUCCCUGCCGUGUCGUCCUAUGAGUUCACUGCCUAUAGGAUGCAACAGUACAACCUGGGACAGCAUAAGUAUGGCUGUCGUGGAGCCAUUGUUGUUGCGGAGGCACGCUCAGCAGAAGAGCCGUCGUUAACCCGCCGCUGUGUGAUAAUGAAGGUGGAAGACUUCACUACAGAAAAAUACUCCGAGGCCCAACGACAAAAUGCAGCUGCCAUCCUGAUCCUGCUGCCCCAAAAUAUCUCCAGUAUCCCUCACAAUGCAGUAGAGUCAUUUAUGGUGAGUGAAAGCGAGACCUUGCUUAAGGAGACCCUCAUGCCAGUGUAUGUGGCACCUGAGGAUGAACAGCUGCUCUGCAUGUAUGAGGAGGUGAAACAGGCUGCAGCCACCCGGACAUCAUCCAUUUUUGUCAGAGUCCUCCGCAGUAUGGUCACGGCUACAGCUUUUCAGAUUUUAGUGAUCAACAAUGCCCCAAUUAAGGCCACCACUGACAAUGCUAUAAUCACACUGGAGGGAGUUCUUCUAGGAGCAGUAGAGGAUGCACCCACUAUAGUCAUCGCAGCCCACUAUGACUCUUAUGGGCUUGCCCCUUGGUUGUCUUAUGGAGCAGACUCAAAUGCCGGUGGUGUCACAAUCCUAAUUGAGUUGGCCCGUCUCUUCCAAAAACUCUACAGUAGUCCCAGAACCAGACCACAAUUUAAUUUAAUGUUCUCCUUGACCGGAGGAGGAAAAUACAAUUUCCUUGGAACAAAGAGGUGGAUUGAAGAGAAUUUGGACCACGCUGAGUCCAGCCUUCUCCAUGACAAUGUGGCAUUUGUCCUGUGCUUGGAUACACUGGCCAACGGCGAUGAGCUGUACAUGCACGUCUCCCGCCCUCCUAAACCCGACACGCCAAUGCAGUCUUUCAUCCAACAACUGGAGGAGGUGGUUUCCUCCAGAUUUCCCUGGGUGAAGGUGGGGUUGGUUCAUAAAAAGAUCAAUCUUGUGGAGUCUACUGUAGCCUGGGAGCAUGAGCGCUACAGCCUACGCAGGAUCCUGGGCUUCACUCUGUCUCAUCUGGAAGAUCCUAAAUCUGAACUUCGUGGCUCUAUGCUAGACACCAUGUCAAAAGUGGAUUUCCGGAAACUUAAGCGAAAUGGCAUCAUCAUAGCAGAAGCGCUGGCCCGCUACAUGUACAAUCUCUCUGACAAGGGUUCACCAAAGGAUGUGCAAGUUUUCAAGGGCCAGCUGGACAUUCAGGACAGUCGUAUCUCCAGUUUGAUGUCCUUCCUGACAUCAGUCCCUCGGGCUACUCAGCUGCUGGAUAAGGAACCCAGUCAUAUCUUGCUGGUCAACUCACUGGAGCACGAAUUCAAGCGCUAUCUGCAGCAAGUCCACAGACACACCUUCCGACAGGACAAGAGGGAUCCUGAUAUUACCUUCUUUGAUCAAAUGAGCCAACCAAUAGUCAUGUACAGAGUGAAGCCUGCAGCCUUUGAUCUGUUCCUGGGAGGCUGCAUUGCUGCUUACCUGGGUAUUGUUUACUACGCAAUCCAGAAUUUCGGUUUUCUCUACACAAAACUAAAAGCAGCAGUUAAAACUAAGCACCACUGAAUCCACUACGACUACGACCACCGACUCCAUGACAAGCGCUUUGAAGUCAGCUCUGCACAUGUUGGACAUUUGCCGGGUGUGCAGCAGGAAGCCUCUUUGCAUGAUCACAUGCAUCUCAUAUAAAGUGGGAAUUUACUUUGAAAUGCUCCGAGUGUGCCGUUUGAAACAAAAUGAAACGAAAUAAAGAAGUUGUUUCAAGCUGUAUGAAAACUGUAUCAAAGCUGGGAACGCACAGCCCUGGAUCUGAUUUGAGCUCCUGUGAAGGACACUCCUGCCAGAUCAUUACUAUGAUUCCCCAUAUCCUCUGCUCUGCAUCUGUUCGCGUGGAUUUGACUGGGCUUAACAUGGCUGUCAAGCGAGGCCCCAACCGCUUCACUAGAUGAACAGCCAGUUCCUGUCACAGAUAAGUCAGUGAGAGCGCUGGAGACACAAAGGCACCCUACAGCGCUUGGUAAAUUAUUAAUGCUUAUGUGGCAAGCUGACAGUGAACAGAGGUGACACUGGGUGGUGGUGGUUGUGGUGGUGGUGAAGAUUUUUAGAAGCCCCAUUUCUCUGCUGUUUCACUCCUUUUCUGCUGAUCUGAUAGCGCUGAGUUUAUUUUAACUACGAGGCAGCCGAACGGCCAGAAGUGUUGGAGAUUGGUGUUGGCUUAUUUGUAAAGGCCCCUGGGAGGGAAAUAGGUCAUGGGCUGUGACCCCAGGUAUGUGUGUCUCUGCAGGGGGCUUGCAGCUAAGGAGGAUUAGUGGCCGAGUGCUCAGGUAGCACAAAGAGUUUUUCUGCUUCAGCAAGGAUGCCCUUAAUCUGCUUUCCUUCCAACAGAGUACAUUAAUCAGAAUAGCUCCAGGUUAAACAAAAAGUUUUAUCAGUUUGGAGGUUGACAGGGUUUCAUGCAGAAUUUAUAACUACUGAUGCAAGAGAAAUGUCAUGUUGUUAUAUAAAUAUAGAAUAAAUAAUAUAUAAAUAUGACAGUGAAAUAGGUGGUAUUCACACUCCAGGAAUAAUAAACCCCCAUAAAUAUUAGACAAUAUUUCCAAACAAACAAACACACAGACAAAGGUAAUACAAAGAGGAGGUACACUGUUUUCGGGGAAGGGGUGGAGUUAGCAGGUGUCAGGGGGAGGUGAGUGAUGCUGCAUGCUCCAUUCAGGCAGGCUGAUCUGGAUGUAAGCCGUGGAAAAGUAAGUAAGGCAGUCAGUGAAGAUGGUUCCCCAACUAUACAUCACAGUGUACAAUGAACAGUUCAGAUCUCCAGGCACAGUGAAAAGAGCUCAACUUCGACCGACCUCUGCCCACCGUAGGAACAACCCUCAGCCCCGGGCGGUAAGACACACAGCUUUCAAUACUGCCUACGUGAUCUGUGUGAAUGAAAGGCCGGAGUGACUGUUGGAAAUUUUGGAAUUUCUUUAUUCUUUUUUUCAAAUUUGUCUCCAAAAUUAGAAGUUAUACUAUAUCACCCUGGGUGAUUCAGAAAAUAUGAAAAAUAUAGCUCAUUUCAGGCAGACAGGAUUAUCUGAGGCAAUUAUACCUACUGCUCUAUGCAUUGUAUUUUGUUUGGCUAUAUUAAAAAAAAGUGUCCUACUAAUUGACUGGUUGGGCACAUUUUUCUGUGAAUCAUAACAGCUGUAUCCUACUAUUAUGCAGGAAUUUCUCCGUGCUUAUUUAUUCAUGCAAGGAUGAAUAGAGUUAAGAAAAUUUACAUGUAUGUGUCCCAUUUGUUCUUUGCCUCCCAAGGACUUUCUGUUUCCCAGGAGCCUUCAGUCAAACAAUAGGUCAACCCAUGCACUUCUUCAUCCCUUGCCCCCUGUGGACUUCGGCCGCCCUCUUUUCCCCCCUGUCAGACAUUUUUCAUUUCACGGUCCUGUUGCAACUUGUUCUGACAGCUAUCUAAAUACAACCGACAAAACACAACACAUGCCCCCUGUCAACCCAUCAACAGUACAAGCCAUGCCCUCUGCUGAUAAACUGCAGAAACUACAACUGACCGAGCCUUCCCCGAGCACUGACAUCCACCUCAGCACUGCUUUGAAGAGCCCACAAAGCAGACUUGGUUAUCAAAAGCAUGUCCAUCCACAUUCAACACAGCAGCUCAGGCAAAAUACAGCUGCUCCGCUUGAAACAAGAGCCCAAACUCCUGCAGCUCCUUGCAGCUUUGUACAGACAAAAUACCAGAGGUGCUGUUCUAACAGCAGCCGGGAUAACAGCAGUGGUUGCUACAGCUGCUUCCAUGUAGUGAAGCCCUACCAAGCUGGACACUACAUCAUACACCCAGAGUUUGUGUCUGAAAGCCUUUAUUAGGAUUAUUAGAGCUCUGGUUUCCAAGAUGGUGACCCGAAGAGGUCCACGGAGAGCCUGAGGCUACUCUCCAGCAAUUGUUAACUUUUCCUUAAUUCUCUGUUAAUUAACCCAGUGAGACAAGGUGUAAGAGUGAAUCAUGUAGAGUGUACAAGCACAGCUGUUAUCUCAUUGUGUAAUGCAAGGAAACUUUUGCAGUUAAGUGCUCAAUCGGUACCAAAGAUCUUCUCAUGGGAUGAUUUUGAAGAUCAAAUGAGGCUCUGAGGCCCUAAGGUGCUGUACGUGAGUUUUUGUAAUUUUAAUCUUCUGAGGAAAACGUGUGUCAAUUAAAAGGGAAUCAGUACAAUGAUACAGUAUGAUGCCGUCUUCAACUACCAGAGCAAAUGCAGUGAAAGAGUGUCACUAUCGAUGCAAAUAAAGGAAGCAUUACCCUCACUUUGCUAAGGAUC
Non-coding RNA from Maylandia zebra (zebra mbuna), 4527 nucleotides. Lineage: Eukaryota; Metazoa; Chordata; Actinopteri; Cichliformes; Cichlidae. The record is from RefSeq and is a predicted model, not a curated record.